Long non-coding RNA from Patella vulgata (common limpet), 982 nucleotides. RefSeq lists it as uncharacterized. NCBI's taxonomy places the organism in Eukaryota, Metazoa, Mollusca, Gastropoda, Patellidae. The record is from RefSeq and is a predicted model, not a curated record. The transcript has 5 exons.
CAACUACGAAAGGAAAGUUAAGUUUCAUUCAAUGAACACUAUUUUCGAGACACCAAUGUCAAAACCGAAACUGAACUCAAAUUUGUUUUAAAAUCAUUAUUGAUGCUUGUUUUGAUAUAGAUUUAUAGCUUUAAGAUCAUCUACAAAAAGGUGUUUAAAAAAAAAAAAUCUGUUUUUUAUUAUUCUCAUAUAAAGUGAUUGUGACAAUAUUUGGAUAUUGAAGAACGUGGAACUAAAAUGUCUUGAAGGUAGCUUUCUUCCAGGAAAAAUGGGUCACAAGAACAGCAUUUGUGUAAUAAUAAUAGUUUUGAUGUCAUGCAGUCAGAAUAACGGAUAUCCUGGGGGUGUGCCUGAUUCAGCUUGUGGUUCUAUGUUUCCUUCUGGUCAUUCUGCCAGACCACAACUAACAACACCACCAUAUAGAAUAAUAGUUCCAAAGAAAACAUAUCAAGCUGGGGAAACUAUUAAAGUGAUGCUAGAAGCAGAAGGCGGAUAUUUUAAAGGUGUAUAUUUACAAGCACGUCUAAUAGGUUGUAAUGUUAAUAUAUCACAAAGUGUUGGGGUAUUUACAGCUAAUGAUAACGAACUACAGACAAGACAUUGUUUUGGACAGGUCCAUUCAACUGUAUCUCAUAAUUCCAAUAGUGCCAAGAGGGUUAAAUAUGUCUACUGGACAGCUCCUGUUAAUCCUUUUGGUCAUGUUAUUCUAAGGGCAACCUUUGUCGAAGAUGCGGCUACAUUUUGGACAAACGUUGUAUCUGAUAUCUUGGUCGACCUACAAUCUACAGAUACGCCCACUUGUUUAACAUCAACGAUGGUACCAUUUUAUGAUUCUGGCGGGAAAAACGUGCCAAAUGGUGAGAAAGUGUUCAGUGUUGGAAGUAAUGGUGCUGUACACGUUUUACAAAAUAUAUGGAGAGUCAUUUUCAUAAAUAUGAUUUUAUUUGAACUUUUCGUUUGCUUUUUAUAAGCUUUUUUUUUU